CUAUGUAUGUGUUUGGUCAUGGGACUUAAGCCAUCGACUCAAACUAUGAUUAUGUUUGUCAAGGGGCUCCCCGGUCUCUGGCAUAUGUUUGCAAGUAUGAUAAUGUGAUCACAUAUGUGACGUAUGUGGAUAUUUGUUAUGUUCCUCACUGAGUAUAUUUUCAAUAUGCUCACCCCUUAUCUUUUCAGUUUUGCAGUUCUGGAGUUGAGGCGGCCAUGGA
Molecule: long non-coding RNA, 220 nt
Filed under: Salvia miltiorrhiza (redroot sage)
Lineage: Eukaryota; Viridiplantae; Streptophyta; Magnoliopsida; Lamiales; Lamiaceae
Description: long non-coding RNA (SMIL_LNC014061)
Source: RNAcentral